This 27-nucleotide non-coding RNA is filed under the name Mus musculus (house mouse). The record is from RNAcentral. Lineage: Eukaryota; Metazoa; Chordata; Mammalia; Rodentia; Muridae.
UUAAGAAGAAACCACACACCAAUGGAG